Long non-coding RNA from Leopardus geoffroyi (Geoffroy's cat), 409 nucleotides. RefSeq lists it as uncharacterized. The transcript is spliced from 4 exons. NCBI's taxonomy places the organism in Eukaryota, Metazoa, Chordata, Mammalia, Carnivora, Felidae. The record is from RefSeq and is a predicted model, not a curated record.
CUGACCCUGCAUACAUUGUCAGCUUUCCGCCCUGCCAGCAUCAGCACCGGCAUCUGUGAAUAACUCAACAGAUAGUUUUUCGGGUUUAUCAAGAUGUAUGAAGUGCAUUGGUUGGUGCCUUGCAAAUUAGAUUGACAGAAGACAGAGUAACAGGGCACUCCAUUUUCAGAAGAGGGAUAUUCAAGGGUCAUGCUGGAGUUAAGAAAUUCAGUGUCCAGAUGUUUCAGAAUCCAGAUGGCCUAUGAAUCCUCUAUCACCCAGAAAGGAGGAAAAUAUGCAUGAAAGUGGAACACUGAAAAGAAAAAAAAUAAUUUAGUGUUGGCAAUGUAAUGGCGACAUACAGGGCUCAAGGAAAAGCUUCCUUUCCUAAAGCAGCAACUUAAUAAAGUGCAUGUUGUAGGCUCUAUCA